Gordionus sp. m RMFG-2023 is the source of this 305-nucleotide long non-coding RNA. RefSeq lists it as uncharacterized. The record is from RefSeq and is a predicted model, not a curated record. The transcript has 3 exons. NCBI's taxonomy places the organism in Eukaryota, Metazoa, Nematomorpha, Gordioida, Chordodea, Parachordodidae.
GUUUUUUUUUAGUUUGUGUUUAGGAUUUUUUUUAGUGUGUAAGUUUAGAUUUCGAAUAAAGUCUUAAUUUUUUUUAAAUUAAUAUUUUCUAAUAGGCUCAAAUAAUUUAAUAAAUUUAAGAUUCACCACUGAUUUUGAUAUCAAAUUAUUCAAUAUACAAGUUUGGCUCAAAUAAUUUAAUAAAAUUCAAGAUUCACCACUGAUUCUGAUAUCAAAUUAUUCAAUAUACAAGUUUGGCUCAAAUAAUUUAAUAAAAUUCAAGGAAAUUUAAUAUUUUUAAAUAAAAGUAUGAUAUUUUAAAUAGA